Molecule: transfer RNA, 76 nt
Filed under: Vibrio gazogenes
Lineage: Bacteria; Pseudomonadati; Pseudomonadota; Gammaproteobacteria; Vibrionales; Vibrionaceae
Also listed under: 12 other names
Description: tRNA-Gly
Rfam family: tRNA
About the family: Transfer RNA (tRNA) molecules are approximately 80 nucleotides in length. Their secondary structure includes four short double-helical elements and three loops (D, anti-codon, and T loops). Further hydrogen bonds mediate the characteristic L-shaped molecular structure. tRNAs have two regions of fundamental functional importance: the anti-codon, which is responsible for specific mRNA codon recognition, and the 3' end, to which the tRNAs corresponding amino acid is attached (by aminoacyl-tRNA synthetases). tRNAs cope with the degeneracy of the genetic code in two manners: having more than one tRNA (with a specific anti-codon) for a particular amino acid; and 'wobble' base-pairing, i.e. permitting non-standard base-pairing at the 3rd anti-codon position.
Source: RNAcentral
GCGACACUAGCUCAGUUGGUAGAGCGCAACCUUGCCAAGGUUGAGGUCACGGGUUCGAACCCCGUGUGUCGCUCCA